GUGCUUGCUUUGGCAGUACAUAUACUAAAAUUGGAAUGAUUACAGAGAAGAUUAGUGUUGCCCAGGUAUAAGG
RNAcentral lists this small nuclear RNA (73 nucleotides) under Castor canadensis (American beaver). The record is from RNAcentral. Lineage: Eukaryota; Metazoa; Chordata; Mammalia; Rodentia; Castoridae.